RNAcentral lists this ribosomal RNA (489 nucleotides) under uncultured bacterium. RNAcentral's name for it is "partial 16S ribosomal RNA". It matches the Rfam family "Bacterial small subunit ribosomal RNA", at positions 30 to 507 of the family's 1533-position model. The record is from RNAcentral.
UUGAACGCUGGCGGCAGGCGUAACACAUGCAAGUCGAACGGUAACAGGGAUCAGCUUGCUGAUUCGCUGACGAGUGGCGGACGGGUGAGUAAUGUCUGGGAAACUGCCUGAUGGAGGGGGAUAACUACUGGAAACGGUAGCUAAUACCGCAUAACGUCGCAAGACCAAAGAGGGGGACCUUCGGGCCUCUUGCCAUCGGAUGUGCCCAGAUGGGAUUAGCUAGUAGGUGGGGUAACGGCUCACCUAGGCGACGAUCCCUAGCUGGUCUGAGAGGAUGACCAGCCACACUGGAACUGAGACACGGUCCAGACUCCUACGGGAGGCAGCAGUGGGGAAUAUUGCACAAUGGGCACAAGCCUGAUGCAGCCAUGCCGCGUGUAUGAAGAAGGCCUUCGGGUUGUAAAGUACUUUCAGCGGGGAGGAAGGGAGUAAAGUUAAUACCUUUGCUCAUUGACGUUACCCGCAGAAGAAGCACCGGCUAACUCCGUG